RNAcentral lists this transfer RNA (72 nucleotides) under Candidatus Caccoplasma merdavium. RNAcentral describes it as "tRNA-Met". It matches the Rfam family "tRNA". From Rfam's summary of the family: Transfer RNA (tRNA) molecules are approximately 80 nucleotides in length. Lineage: Bacteria; Pseudomonadati; Bacteroidota; Bacteroidia; Bacteroidales; Bacteroidaceae. The record is from RNAcentral.
AGCGGGAUAGAGCAGAGGUAGCUCGCGAGGCCCAUUACCUCGAAGUCGCGGGUUCGAAUCCCGCUCCCGCCA